RNAcentral lists this long non-coding RNA (470 nucleotides) under Ananas comosus (pineapple). Its description in RNAcentral is "long non-coding RNA (ACOM_LNC040976)". The record is from RNAcentral. Lineage: Eukaryota; Viridiplantae; Streptophyta; Magnoliopsida; Poales; Bromeliaceae.
UAUUUGUUACUAUUAGCUCCUAUGGCAUCCCUUUUAAUUUUAAUGUUCAGCAUGAUGAUGCUACUGAUACUACUGGUACUAAUGAUAUUAAAUUCAUACGAUUGUAACUUAUAAAAUUAUUUGAUUAAGAAAUACGUGCUUUUGAUACAUGAAAGGGAGUGUUCAUCUUUUGGAGCAUAACCGUUAUGAUCAAAGUAUUGUAAUUUCUUGGUCGAGUGGGAGAUUUUGACUGUAUAAUUUAGUUGGUACCUAAUAAAGUUUUUGUAUCGCCUAUACGGUAAUAAAUAUAUCACUAGGCUAAGUGCGAGAAUGUUUGAGUGGCCGACAUGAUAUAUUCAAGGCUAUCUAUAAAGAGACGGUUAAUCUAAUUAAGUCGAUCUAUAAAGAUACAGUAGAUCUUACGGUUAGGAUGAAUUUGGACACGUCCUUGAUGGACGGACGUGAUUUAACAUCCUUAUAUCAAGUUAUAU